RNAcentral lists this non-coding RNA (21 nucleotides) under Caenorhabditis elegans. Lineage: Eukaryota; Metazoa; Nematoda; Chromadorea; Rhabditida; Rhabditidae. The record is from RNAcentral.
UUUUUCCGUUACGAUAUCAAU